This 497-nucleotide ribosomal RNA is filed under the name uncultured bacterium. RNAcentral describes it as "partial 16S ribosomal RNA". It matches the Rfam family "Bacterial small subunit ribosomal RNA", at positions 28 to 507 of the family's 1533-position model. The record is from RNAcentral.
GAUGAACGCUGGCGGCGUGCCUAAUACAUGCAAGUCGAGCGAACGGACGAGAAGCUUGCUUCUCUGAUGUUAGCGGCGGACGGGUGAGUAACACGUGGAUAACCUACCUAUUAGACUGGGAUAACUUCGGGAAACCGGAGCUAAUACCGGAUAAUAUUUUCAACCGCUUGGUUCAAAAGUGAAAGACGGUCUUGCUGUCACUUAUAGAUGGAUCCGCUCUGCAUUAGCUAGUUGGUAAGGUAACGGCUUACCAAGGCAACGAUGCAUAGCCGACCUGAGAGGGUGAUCAGCCACACUGGAACUGAGACACGGUCCAGACUCCUACGGGAGGCAGCAGUAGGGAAUCUUCCGCAAUGGGCGAAAGCCUGACGGAGCAACGCCGCGUGAGUGAUGAAGGUCUUCGGAUCGUAAAACUCUGUUAUUAGGGAAGAAAAUAUGUGUAAGAAACUGUGCACAUCUUGACGGUACCUAAACAGAAAGCCACGGCUAACUACGUG